Non-coding RNA from Pan troglodytes (chimpanzee), 148 nucleotides. It matches the Rfam family "Metazoan signal recognition particle RNA". From Rfam's summary of the family: The signal recognition particle (SRP) is a universally conserved ribonucleoprotein. It is involved in the co-translational targeting of proteins to membranes. The eukaryotic SRP consists of a 300-nucleotide 7S RNA and six proteins: SRPs 72, 68, 54, 19, 14, and 9. The record is from Rfam. Lineage: Eukaryota; Metazoa; Chordata; Mammalia; Primates; Hominidae.
GCUGGGCGUGGUGGCGUGUGCCUGUAAUCUCAGCUACUCAGGAGGCUGAGGCAGGAGAAUCGCUUGAACCCAGGAGGCGGAGGUUGCAGUGAGCCAAAAUAGCGCCACUGCACUCCAGUCUGGGUGACAGAGCGAGACUCUGUCUCAA